UGGAAAAAUACCUUAUCCAUUUUUCCUUCAACAGAGUCGCACUCUGCAUUUCAGGUCUAUCAGCUCCAAUCAUAUGGAGAAGAUUCCAGAGGAAUCCAAUUUUAGAGACUUCUUCCCUGUCAACAGAUGACUGAUCCUGUCUGCUUUUUCAUGAGAUUCUUGGACAGUCAAAGGAGACCGCAUUCAUUUGGCUUGCAUUGGAUUUUCCUCUUCCACUUUUGCCCACCCAACAGAGUUCCUCCCACUCUUCAGGGCAGCAAUUCAAAAUGAUUAGAAGAGCUCUCACUCUCUUUUAAAAACGCUAGUGAAAUCUACAUGAAAUUUACAUUUUCCAGCAAAAUAAUGCUAGGUCCAGUUGGAGGAUGUAUGGAGAGAAUGGGUGGGUAAAAUAGCAUCUCGGCUGCAGCACGAGAAUCUCAUUUAAACAACAACAACAACAGAUAUGGAAACACCCAGUUAAGAGAACCUGGAGAAGGAGAGGCCAACAGGCAAACUGCAAUGCAGGCUGUGGGCUCACUCCUUGCAUGUAAACAGAAAAACACUUGGAGAGCUCUCUCAAGCCCACUGCGCAGAGCAUAGCUCCCAGUUUGGAAGCAGGUGGACUAUAAAUCCCUCUUCAGCAUCUGAAAGCAGCAAUACUGGAAGCAUAAUGGGUACAACAUCACAGCCAGAUGACAUUUUGUUUAAGAAAAGUGCCACAGGUCACAUUGGAAGCAAGGAAAUUGACCGGAGGAAUUAAGAAUGUAUAAACUGGGCAAUCAUUCAUUCAGUUUUGUAAAUAUUGAGGCAUUUAUUGCUAUUAUUUUUGGCCUUCUAAUGAUAUGCUUAGCUCCUGGAUAUUUGACACCCUAUAAAUUCUCCAAUCAUCAAAUAAAGAGCAGUUC
Sphaerodactylus townsendi is the source of this 884-nucleotide long non-coding RNA. RefSeq lists it as uncharacterized. Lineage: Eukaryota; Metazoa; Chordata; Lepidosauria; Squamata; Sphaerodactylidae. The record is from RefSeq and is a predicted model, not a curated record. The transcript is spliced from 3 exons.